RNAcentral lists this long non-coding RNA (677 nucleotides) under Anser cygnoides (Swan goose). RNAcentral's name for it is "lncRNA (ENSACDG00005007926.1)". Lineage: Eukaryota; Metazoa; Chordata; Aves; Anseriformes; Anatidae. The record is from RNAcentral.
GGGCACUGGGGUGGGAUAUGGGGACAUCGGGGCCCUUUGGGUCUGUUUGCGGGAAUUUAGGGUCGCUGGGGAUAGGAUUUGGGGCCGAUUGGGGCCAUUUUGAGCCCAGUUAGGGCCAUUCGGGGCCACUUAGGGCCACCUAGGGCAGGAUUUGGGUCUAUUUAGAGCUAUUUGGGGCCUUUUGGGGUUCCUAAUAACAAAAUGUUAAGGCGUUUGGGGUUUUUCAGGGUCGCUAACAACAGCAUUUAGGGCUACGUGAACCUAUUUAGGUCCACUUAGGACCCCUAAAAAUAGGGAUUUCCGCUCAUUUAAGACAUUUAGGAUAGGAUUUGAGACUUUUUACGGCUAUUUACAGCUUUUCAGAUUCCUAAAUAAACAAUUUGGGGCCAUUUGGGGCCAUUUGGAGGCUAUUUAGGGCUAUUUACGGUGGGGAGACGACCCCGGGGUACUUUUGGGGUGCUGGGGGGUAUCUAUGGGGCACCGUGGGGUGUCUAUGGGGCGCUGUGGGGCACCGUGGGGCCCUAUAGGUUAUCUAUAGGGCAUUAUAGGGUGUCCAUGGGUCGUUGUGGGGCGCCGUGGGGUACCUGUGGGGCACUGUGGGGUGUCUAUGGGGCGCUGUGGGGCUCCGUGGGGCCCUAUAGGUUAUCUAUAGGGCAUUAUAGGGUGUCUAUGGGUUG